RNAcentral lists this ribosomal RNA (227 nucleotides) under uncultured bacterium. RNAcentral describes it as "partial 16S ribosomal RNA". It matches the Rfam family "Bacterial small subunit ribosomal RNA", at positions 109 to 334 of the family's 1533-position model. The record is from RNAcentral.
AGUAACGCGUGAGGAACCUGCCUCAAAGAGGGGGACAACAGUUGGAAACGACUGCUAAUACCGCAUAAGCCCACGGCUCGGCAUCGAGCAGAGGGAAAAGGAGCAAUCCGCUUUGAGAUGGCCUCGUGUCCGAUUAGCUAGUUGGUGAGGUAAUGGCCCACCAAGGCGACGAUCGGUAGCCGGACUGAGAGGUUGAACGGCCACAUUGGGACUGAGACACGGCCCAG